Sebastes umbrosus (honeycomb rockfish) is the source of this 304-nucleotide long non-coding RNA. RefSeq lists it as uncharacterized. Lineage: Eukaryota; Metazoa; Chordata; Actinopteri; Perciformes; Sebastidae. The record is from RefSeq and is a predicted model, not a curated record. The transcript has 2 exons.
GGCGCAGUUCUGAUGUCGGACUCUGGCAGGCCGUUUUGUGUCAAAUGAUUGAUUUCUUAUAUAUCAGCGUGGUGGUGAUGAGGGGCUGGCAAACACAGACAUGCUGUGCAGGGAGCCAGAGAACAUGAACAUAAUAUCCAAAACUGUCAGAAUACAAAUAUGGAUGACAUAUUUUGCAGAUAAUCGGUUCAAUGGAGCAAAAACAUGGCCAAGAGGAAAAAAAAGGAUAAACCAAGAGCAAAUAUUUCCCUGUCAGUAGCUGUUGUUUGCUAUUUUCGAUAAAGUUUGGAUAGGUGCGGCCUUU